GAACCUGAGUGUACUGUAUCUUACUGUAAACUCCCAUGAUUCCUUGCUGUUAAGUACACGUGCACACACACACACACUCCAUCAUGGUAAAGAAAGAACACAAGGUCUCUCGGCUGGUUAAUUGGGCGACGUCCACUGGAAUGGCACGUUCUCGUCUGAUAACCCUGCUGAACUCACACACACACACACACACACAUCUGGUUCUGAUCUCACACACACACACACACACACACACACAGGAAAAAAAGGUUUGCUUCCAGUAUGGCAUUCUGGUGUGAAUCACUGUGUGUGUGUGUGUGUGUGUGUGUGUGAGACCACCCUGAAGUUGAUUAUUUUCCGAUAACAUCACGUCCGCAGGUGUUUUAUUCCUCUUACACCACAGCAACUUACCAACUAUUAAAAUUUUUAUUUAUUGAAAAACAUCACAAGACAGCAAGAAAGAGAGGGAAAGAAGAAGUAUGUGUGUAUAUAGGAAGAGACUGCGAGAGCGGGGGAAGAGAAAGAAAGAAAGAGAUAAAGACAGAGAGAGACGGCGACAGAAAGAGAGACAGAGAGACACAGAAAGAGAGUGAGACAGAGAGAGCAACAAAGAGAGAGAGACAGAGAGUGAGACAGAGAGAGACAGAGUGAGACAAAGAGAGAGAGACAGAGAGUAAGACAGAGAGAGAGCGACAGAAAGAGAGUGAGACAGAAAGAGAGUGUUAGACAGAGAGCAAGAGAAAGCGACAGAAAUACAGUGAAACAGAAAGACAGAGACAGUCAGAGAGAGGGGACUUACGCUGCGUUCGACUGAAACUCACACCUGGAAACUUCUGCCCUCCACCGAAGGUCUCCUCUACCCCCCGAGUUCAGAGAGCGACGUCGACUCAAACCAACAUGGCGGCUCGGACAUCAGCAGGAAACACAGCAGCACUUCUUCCCUUUAAACGAGCUCCACUGGACGUACGCACGUUAGCUUUCCGUCAUUCGGCAUACAGACCCGUCCGUGUGUUAAAAUCUCCAACGCUCUCUCUACAUGUCACUGCUCUGAGGAAAACACACGCGGCAUUCGGCUAGCGCGUCGCUGACAAAACACCAACACGGAGGCGUCCCAAACACGGAGGUCGAGAGUGUCCGAACAAGCCGAGUACCAACUUCUGAGGCAAGUCGAAUGCACCGCGAGGACACAAAACAGCUACAACGUUAGCAUUCCUACGUUACUACAGAAAUACACUAGCACACCACUAGCAAUGUCAUGAUCACGUAUCGCGAUUGGCCAAGACUGUGAUUAACCUAAACCACCCCCCCCCCACUGAAUCACGAUUUACCUGACAUGAUCCACUCUCUCUGAAGGCCACAUGUAUAAACACUACAUAGAAAAUAUAUUCAUAAGGAAUUGAAGGAACACUUCAUUAUAAACACGUUUAAUUAUUUUAUCAAUGGCUUACAGUUCAUAAAUCGCUAAAAGAAUGGAUUAUACUAUAAGUAGCGCUUACAGCGCAUUACAUCACCAGUAUAUCUUCUCAUAACGCACUAUGUAAAGUGGAACUCGGUGAUAUAGCACGUUACGAACGCUACUCGUAAAGCAUAAUAACGACAGCUACGCAUUAGAACGUGAUAUGACUGCGCUCAUAGAUUAUUACAGAUAUGGCCUUCAUAGGAAGUUACCAAAAUAACAAGCUAAAACGAACAGUGUGACGAAUGCCACAAAAUGUGCAUGUAUGUGUGUGUGUAUAAACGGUUAGAAAUACGCUCUGAAGACAUCCUGAAUAACACUGAAAGUGAAAAGUGAACACCUAAUCGAUAAAUUCGAUAAUUAAAAUGACGGACAGCGAACGUCAUUACGGAUUAAUCGGGUCAGUGACGUCACUGCGGAUAACCCCACCCCGUCAGGGACGUCACUUCACGACGGUCAGAAAAACGCAUUUCUAUGAAUAAAACCCGUGUGAAAAACAGCGGAGGUCACAGAGUGAGCUGCUGCUGAGGGAAAAGUGCAGGAUCCAGCUCGUCCAAAACAUGAGAACGUUUUAUAUUGAGCGCUUCAAACAAACUGGUAAGUGUAUUAACGUGGUUCAUCGUGUCAGUCGCUGCGACAGUUGCGUGUGCUGUUUAACGUGUUCCGGACAUGUUUCCCUUCAUAUCCUUAUCUGUAAAUGUUAGAAAGUCACGCCAGUAUUUCCAUUUUACAUGAAGUCUCGUCCUGAAAGCGAGCGAGUCUCCGUUAAACUUCACUGAACGAGCGCGAGUCCACGCCGGUGCACUGCAAUCACACCUCGCGCAAUAGAGAGGAAGAGCAAUAACUCUGACUAAAAUAUACCUUUUUUAAAUCAUUCAUUUUCCACUGGCCCUUUAACCUGACUAAUCGAAGAAAUAGUCGACAGAUUAAACGAUUAUCAAAAUAAUCGUUAGUUGCAGCAUUAGUUCAGUGUAUUAAAGUGAAUACACUGUCUUUCGAAUCAAAGAAUUACUUCAGUAUCGAAUAAAACAAACAAACGAACGAAUCGUGAGUCGAAUCAUUUCAGUCAGCUCAAAGAUUCAUUCUUGAACCCCAGGCCUACAAACUAAAACUUGAUUAAAAAAAACAAUAAUAAUUAAAAAAAAAACAACAUGAAGUGCGACAAGACAGGUUUUGUUCGUAAGUCGUGAUUAUAGAUUUGAAUCGUGAUUAUGAUUUUAAAGCGUUUUUGGUCACGCGCUUUUGUCCAGCUGGUGUGUUUUGUAUAAAAGCAUCUGCAUAAAGGAUCAAUGUAAAUUUACCUGUCUGAGGGUCAGUGACCCAUUAAUAGGCUUUCUCAGGUGUGUCAGAGCAUGACAAGUACACAGUGCACUAUAUUAAGGGAUACAACAGCAACGCUGCACACUUCAACCCCUAUCUAGUGUACUUGUAAAGGACAGAGUGUACAGAGACGAACCCCUUGUUUGGACACCAGCAGCAUGCAUACCAUAUUGAGUUCAGUCCACGCCCACUUUUUUUUGGCAUUGUUUUUGUACUCCUAAGUCCAGUAUUCAUAAAGAUAACCAUGAUAAAGGCUUCCCAUAUGCACACAGUGAAUAGGGGAUGACGUCAUGAGCGCAUCACCCUGCUCAGACACUGUGGAAGGCAGGAAGGCACAUGGGAUUCAGCCAAAAUCGCUUCAAAGGGUGACGUGGUUGCUAGGCAACAAUAUCCACAACCUUUUAAAACACAGUGACAUUUAUUCAAUAAGAAAUGUCCUGCAGGUUCUUAUUAUUUAUUUAUUUAUUUUAGAGGCAGGACUAAACACGUGUAGCAUCCCUCACAGGCUCCCCCCUAUUUCAGGCAUCAGUGGAAUGAUCCGUUACCAUGGCGCCUUUAAUCAGCGCGCGAGCCGGACAAAAUGAAUGAGUGACUGUUAUUAACAGAAACGACUGGACGUUAAUAUUUGGUUAUCAAUAAUAAUAUUGAUAAAUUAUGUGUGUGUAUAUAUAUAUUAUUUUCUUUACUAAAUUAUGUUUUCUUUUGCUAGUAUAUAAAUAACUCAUAUUUUGUUGACAGGAAUCGCUGUUUUUAAGUUUACCUCAGAGUACCCGUGUAAAAUUCAACCAAGUUACCCGGAUGUUGUUAAAAUGGCUGCCUCUUCGCUAGCUUACCGUGACACCCAAACAAACCCAACACAAUGAGUUUCAAUUAAAAACCGUACAAAAUUAUUUAUUUUCUUUUUAAAACUCAACCAGUGCGCCAAAUGGAACGUUUCUAUGUGUUUUUAAGUUGAGGCUUAAAGUCCAGUUAUACGACGUGGAAGGGAAAAAAAAAACUUUUUAAAGUCAGUUUCCACCGCCGUUGUGUAAGCUUGCGUGACUUAAAAAUAUGUUAAUUCGAGGAGAAGGAGGAGACGGAGGGGGAAAAAGAGGGGAAAAGACAAAAAAAAACGUGUUCUCAUAAGGGGGAGUGUAAAAAAAAAGAAAGCCUAUCGGAUUACAAUAACAUCCUCGAAGCCCGACCACCCCCUCCCUCAUGCGAGCAUCGCGUGAGAGCACCGCGCGCCUCGAUUAUGAUUAAUAUAGAGGCUCCGUCCCAAAAAAAAAAAAAAAAAACACCACACACAAACCCCCCGCGCACUACCGUACUAACGAGUGUGACCAAACAGGACACCACCACUACCGGCGCGACGAGACCCGUUAAACCGUCGACUGCUCAUCCGCCAUACUGCCUCACUCAACCCAAACAGAAACUUCCACAGAAUUUUUGUGUAUGAACGUAGCGCACUACCCUCUCCAUACUGCUUAGUGUGGUAGUAGUUGAUUUUGGACGCGACCCAAAAAGCGCGCUUGCCAAAACUAGAGUUGAGGCUUUGCAGCACAAAAGGCCCGGAUGUUAAGGUGGACCGGAGAGUUCAGCAGUCAGAGGAGGGGAAAUGGAACCAUUAAAUGAGAGUGUUGUUCACUCCGCCCAUGGGGGGAGCGUUACUCAGGGACACACACCACAGCGAUUUACGCAAAGCAAAAACAAACAAACAAACCAAAAAACAUACACAGAGAGACACAAAAUUGAAACAAAAGUGUACGUUUACGAUUACAAACUACUUUACGUUUCUUUGGUUUGUCUGUUUGUCCCCCCUCGCCCGAUGCAGUCGUACCAUCAAAAUCUUGCGUAAAAACAAACAAAUGAAUAAUUUAACCUCUGAUCACUGUUACCUUUAAUCACUCUGUAAAAAGGCACCACACACACACAAAUUCUCAGGCACUAAGGGUACCAAAGGUACUAAAGAGGUCCGUUUCAUAGCACCUCUGCGGCGAGAAGGAAAAGUUCUGACAGCAGAAACACUACUGUCAAAGUCGCGGGACCGUGAGGCAAAAGCGCGCUUUGGCUGCAUUUACACUGCAGGUCUUGAUGCCCAAUUCCAAUUCGUUGACUAUAUCCAAUUUCUUUUAGACGACCCGCUUACAUCUUCUUUUAAAAGUGACCCAUAUAUCCGAUAUCUGUGUUUACAUUAUACACUUCGUGAAACAACCCGAGGUAGACGUCACCAGAAGCUUUGGUCGAAAAGGAAGUAAAAAAACGCCACAAUGUGCGAUGGAACGCAGACGAAAAUAUAACACAAGCUUUUAGUUUUCUGCACCAUAUUUAAAGUUGAGCAGAACACCCGCCUCUUAAGGCGGAGAAAUUAAAGAAGAGAGCCCUUGUUGAGAGACGUGUUUUCUCGGAUGGUGUCCACCUGAAGUGACGUCAUACGCCGCCGUCGCUUUUUCAAUGACGUACGACUGGUACCGACAGGAGAAUAUCCAAUUCAUAUCGGUUUAUUCCCACAUAUGAACGAGGCCUGAAGCGGAUCUGAGAAUAUCAUGGGUCAUAUCCGAUCUGCUCCAGAUGGAAGGAAAAAAUCGGACUUGGGUCACUUGAACCAUGUAGUGUAAAUGCUGCCAAAGUGACUUCAGUGAAACACAGCUGUCUUUAAGACAAAAAAAAAAAUACUUUGGGGGAAAGUUUUUACAAGUUUAUAUGCUUUAUGUAUUAAGUUUAUAACACACUGCAUGUUUGGCAAAGAAAGUUUGCAAGCAAGCAAACAAACAGUUGUGUUGUAACAAGUUGCAAGUUCAAGUUCUUGCAUAUCUGUAAGGAAACACUUUUUUUAAUAAAACAAAAAAAAACAGUGCACUUGUUUACUUGUGUGUUUAAUUCAUGAAUGCAUGUUUCAGAUCAAACGCACUGUUGUUAUUAUCAGCUAAG
Molecule: long non-coding RNA, 5665 nt
Organism: Ictalurus furcatus (blue catfish)
Lineage: Eukaryota; Metazoa; Chordata; Actinopteri; Siluriformes; Ictaluridae
Exons: 2
Source: RefSeq, a predicted model, not a curated record